This 786-nucleotide long non-coding RNA is filed under the name Homo sapiens (human). Its description in RNAcentral is "non-protein coding lnc-HAND1-9:2". The record is from RNAcentral. Lineage: Eukaryota; Metazoa; Chordata; Mammalia; Primates; Hominidae.
ACCCUUGAGUUUUUUGAGCACAUGUUCCAUAUCUACAUGUUUUGUUUUAAAAUGGUUCUAAGGUUUUGUGGUCAAAUGAAGAUACUUUUUAAAGUCAAUAAAAAGGUAUAAAACAAUACACUGUCAAUAUGGAUAGCACAGAAAGAUAUUAAGAAAGAAGUUUAAAACACUUAGAAUUUCCAUUCUAAAGAUGACAUUUUGCUCUCAGUCCAGACUUCUGUGCUUAUAUUUAAUAUUUAUGUAUGGGUGUGUGUGUGUGUUUUAAAGUGUGAUCGUACUCCACUUACUGUUAUUUAACCUACUCUGCUCACUUAAAAAUGUAUUCGUUAUUCCAGGUCAAAGAAAUGGCAGAUGUCCUUAACCCAUUAAUCACUGCAGUAUUUCUAGAGGCAUCAAACAGUGCCUCCUACAUCCAGGACGCCUUUCAGCUACUCUUACCUGUGCUAGAGAUCUCUCUCAUUGAGAACAAGAUUGAAUCACACAGACAUGAGCUGCAGGGCCAGAAACCUUUGUUAGAACAUUGAAGAAUGGAGACGUUUUGACCUGGGACUUGUGACGGCCAAGGAAUGCCACCUUAUUCUGGCUACUCCUGCAGAAAUGAAGGAGUGGGGUUAUUUUAGUAUAUAAAAAUUCAGGCAGGAGAGAUGGUUUAAAGAGGAAGAUUGUUGCCUUCAGUGUUUGAUUGAAGUAUUCAGGUUCUCACAGUAUUCUUUCCAGUUGUUGUAAUUCAUAAAUUAUUUGAAAAGAAACUUUUGUAGAAAGUCCAAGAAUAAUAACUCUAGAUAA